RNAcentral lists this transfer RNA (66 nucleotides) under Eutelia adulatricoides. RNAcentral's name for it is "tRNA-Asp". The record is from RNAcentral. Lineage: Eukaryota; Metazoa; Arthropoda; Insecta; Lepidoptera; Euteliidae.
AAAGAAUUAGUUAAAAAAUAACAUAAAUAUGUCAAGUUUAAAUUAUUAUAAAAAUAAUAUUCUUUU